Molecule: long non-coding RNA, 540 nt
Filed under: Struthio camelus australis
Lineage: Eukaryota; Metazoa; Chordata; Aves; Struthioniformes; Struthionidae
Description: lncRNA (ENSSCUG00000002593.1)
Source: RNAcentral
GGAAAAACAAAGUUGCUGCUGAUUCUAACUCAAGUGAAAUGCAGGGGAAAAAGCUAGCUGAUACUGCAUGAAAAUGUACAAAAUUAGACUGCCUAAAGAAUUAUUUCAACUUUCUAAGUACCAGGGAUGACUUAUCCAGCACUUUUUUCUCCUGACUGUGACUCCAUCUACAUGCAUAUAUUUCUGUAAAUGAUCUCUUCAAGAAAUAUUUUGUUGAUUAGAACAGAUUAUUGGCACAGUGGUCUGAUCUUAUUUCAGAGGAUGAAAGAUCAUUAACCCUGCAGGGAAAUCCUAACACUGAUGCUUCCAUCCACAGAUACAACAUUCACUUUUAAGUGAGUACCAGUCUGAUAUGAGUUGCUGAAGAUGGGUGAGCUGAGGAAGAAGCAAAUGAUGUUGGUGCUGUUAAGAUACUGGAAAUGGCCAGUUCUGCUGUGCAAAAGGGGCAGGACAAACAGCAUUCCCCGAUCUUGAGAGAAAAACAGAAGGUUACAGGAAGCUUCCCCAACAUUUUACUUCUCCGUGGAGCACUCGGAUCAG